Molecule: ribosomal RNA, 1252 nt
Filed under: metagenome
Description: bacterial SSU rRNA
Rfam family: Bacterial small subunit ribosomal RNA
Source: RNAcentral
UAGCUAGUUGGUGAGGUAACGGCCCACCAAGGCAACGAUCGGUAGCCGGACUGAGAGGUUGAACGGCCACAUUGGGACUGAGACACGGCCCAGACUCCUACGGGAGGCAGCAGUGGGGAAUAUUGCACAAUGGGGGAAACCCUGAUGCAGCGACGCCGCGUGGAGGAAGAAGGUCUUCGGGUUGUAAACUCCUGUUGUUGAGGAAGAUAAUGACGGUACUCAACAAGGGAGUGACGGCUAACUACGUGCCAGCAGCCGCGGUAAAACGUAGGUCACAAGCGUUGUCCGGAAUUACUGGGUGUAAAGGGAGCGCAGGCGGGAAGACAAGUUGGAAGUGAAAUCCAUGGGCUCAACCCAUGAACUGCUUUCAAAACUGUUUUUCUUGAGUAGUGCAGAGGUAGGCGGAAUUCCCGGUGUAGCGGUGGAAUGCGUAGAUAUCGGGAGGAACACCAGUGGCGAAGGCGGCCUACUGGGCACCAACUGACGCUGAGGCUCGAAAGUGUGGGUAGCAAACAGGAUUAGAUACCCUGGUAGUCCACACCGUAAACGAUGAUUACUAGGUGUUGGAGGAUUGACCCCUUCAGUGCCGCAGUUAACACAAUAAGUAAUCCACCUGGGGAGUACGACCGCAAGGUUGAAACUCAAAGGAAUUGACGGGGGCCCGCACAAGCAGUGGAGUAUGUGGUUUAAUUCGACGCAACGCGAAGAACCUUACCAAGUCUUGACAUCCUGCGACGAUGCUGGAAACAGUAUUUUCCUUCGGGACGCAGAGACAGGUGGUGCAUGGUUGUCGUCAGCUCGUGUCGUGAGAUGUUGGGUUAAGUCCCGCAACGAGCGCAACCCUUAUGGUCAGUUACUACGCAAGAGGACUCUGGCCAGACUGCCGUUGACAAAACGGAGGAAGGUGGGGAUGACGUCAAAUCAUCAUGCCCUUUAUGACUUGGGCUACACACGUACUACAAUGGCGUUAAACAAAGAGAAGCAAGACCGCGAGGUGGAGCAAAACUCAGAAACAACGUCCCAGUUCGGACUGCAGGCUGCAACUCGCCUGCACGAAGUCGGAAUUGCUAGUAAUCGUGGAUCAGCAUGCCACGGUGAAUACGUUCCCGGGCCUUGUACACACCGCCCGUCACACCAUGAGAGCCGGGGGGACCCGAAGUCGGUAGUCUAACCGCAAGGAGGACGCCGCCGAAGGUAAAACUGGUGAUUGGGGUGAAGUCGUAACAAGGUAACCGUACUAGUACGGAAUUUG